Molecule: ribosomal RNA, 504 nt
Filed under: uncultured bacterium
Lineage: Bacteria
Description: partial 16S ribosomal RNA
Rfam family: Bacterial small subunit ribosomal RNA
Source: RNAcentral
AUUGAACGCUGGCGGCAGGCCUAACACAUGCAAGUCGAGCGGUAGCACAGAGAGCUUGCUCUCGGGUGACGAGCGGCGGACGGGUGAGUAAUGUCUGGGAAACUGCCUGAUGGAGGGGGAUAACUACUGGAAACGGUAGCUAAUACCGCAUAACGUCGCAAGACCAAAGAGGGGGACCUUCGGGCCUCUUGCCAUCAGAUGUGCCCAGAUGGUAUUAGCUAGUAGGUGGGGUAACGGCUCACCUAGGCGACGAUCCCUAGCUGGUCUGAGAGGAUGACCAGCCACACUGGAACUGAGACACGGUCCAGACUCCUACGGGAGGAAGCAGUGGGGAAUAUUGCACAAUGGGCGCAAGCCUGAUGCAGCCAUGCCGCGUGUAUGAAGAAGGCCUUCGGGUUGUAAAGUACUUUCAGCGGGGAGGAAGGUGUUGAGGUUAAUAACCUCAGCAAUUGACGUUACCCGCAGAAGAAGCACCGGCUAACUCCGUGCCAGCCGCCGCAGUAA